GACGAACGCUGGCGGCGCGCCUAACACAUGCAAGUCGAACGGAGACAAGAGGUGCUUGCUUCUCUUGACUGAGUGGCGAACGGGUGAGUAACGCGUGAGUAACCUGCACUGGAGUGGGGGACAACAGUUGGAAACGACUGCUAAGACCGCAUAAGCCCACGGAUCCGCAUGGAUCUGCGGGUAAAGGGUUUAUUCGCUUCAGGAGGGACUCGCGUCCUAUUAGCUAGAUGGUGAGGUAACGGCCCACCAAGGCGACGAUUGGUAGCCGGACUGAGAGGGUGCACGGCCACUGUGGGACUGAGACACGGCCCAGACUCCUACGGGAGGCAGCUGUGGGGGAUAUUGCACUAGGGGGGAAACUCUGAUGCAGCGGCGGCGCGUGGAUGAAGGAGGUUUUCGGAGUGUAAUCUCCUGUCGUGAGAAGCGAUAAUGACGGUACCUAGCAAGAAAGCACCGGCUAACUACGUG
Molecule: ribosomal RNA, 468 nt
Filed under: uncultured bacterium
Lineage: Bacteria
Description: partial 16S ribosomal RNA
Rfam family: Bacterial small subunit ribosomal RNA
Source: RNAcentral